Long non-coding RNA from Exaiptasia diaphana, 282 nucleotides. RefSeq lists it as uncharacterized. NCBI's taxonomy places the organism in Eukaryota, Metazoa, Cnidaria, Anthozoa, Actiniaria, Aiptasiidae. The transcript is spliced from 3 exons. The record is from RefSeq and is a predicted model, not a curated record.
UUGACUUUUCUGAGAGAAAAGAGAAAGAAGAUGUCAACUGUUAAACCUAUUUAUUGCACAACUGACGAAAAUCAAGAUGGCACAACCGAACAGGAUGAAAACAUAAACAUCGAUAGUUUAUUGAAUGAUUUUAUGUCAUUUGCCUGGCAAAUCGCACAAGGAAUGGAAUACUUAGCAUCCAAAGGAAUCGUACAUCGUGAUCUUGCUGCUCGCAAUGUAUUACUAACUAACGACAACUUUGUUAAAAUUGCUGAUUUCGGUCUAUCUCGUCAAAUGACGUAC